This 888-nucleotide ribosomal RNA is filed under the name uncultured Neocallimastigales. RNAcentral's name for it is "partial large subunit ribosomal RNA". It matches the Rfam family "Eukaryotic large subunit ribosomal RNA", at positions 1 to 631 of the family's 3401-position model. The record is from RNAcentral. Lineage: Eukaryota; Fungi; Neocallimastigomycota; Neocallimastigomycetes; Neocallimastigales.
AACUGACGUCGCGACGCAUAUCAAUAAGCGGAGGAAAAGCGCAUUAAAGAUCCAGAUACCUACGCUUAGGAUGUUGAUACACGCGCGUGCUCGACUCUACACUGACGUCGCGACGCAUAUCAAUAAGCGGAGGAAAAGAAACUAACAAGGAUUCCCUUAGUAACGGCGAGUGAAGCGGGAAGAGCUCAAAUUUGAAAUCUUCAAGGUUCUACCUUGACGAAUUGUAGUUUAAAGAAGUGUUUUCUGUUAGAUGGAGUAGGCAAAAGUUCCUUGGAAUAGGGACAUCAUAGAGGGUGAGAAUCCCGUAUUUGACAUUAUUCAUUCUAGCUGUGUGAUACACUUUCAAAGAGUCGGAUUGUUUGGGAAUGCAGUCCAAAAUGGGUGGUAAAUUUCAUCUAAAGCUAAAUAUUGGCGAGAGACCGAUAGCGAACAAGUACCGUGAGGGAAAGAUGAAAAGAACUUUGAAAAGAGAGUUAAACAGUACGUGAAAUUGUCAAAAGGGAAGCGUUUGACACCAGUGUUGUUUUUCCGAAAAUCAAUUACUAAAUGCUUGAUUUGUGUUCUGAGGAGUGAUGACCUUAUCAGGCUUUCCUGCUCUUUUUCACGAAUCUUUCUGUAAUGCACUUUUCGGUUAACAAGUCAACAUCAAUUUCUUUUGUUGUAAAAGAGUAUUCGGAAGGUGGCUUUCUUUUCGGAGAAAGUGUUUAUAGCCCUAUACUUCUACAAUCGGAGAGAUUGAGGUCUGCAGCGUAGAUCCUUCGGGGUUAGAUACACUUUGUGCUAAGUUGUAGCUUUUCAUAGACAACUUGUUGACUAUGUUUAGUCAUGCGGCUUACUCGCUUAUGCUAUUUUACCUACGCUUAGGAUGUUGAGUCGUAGAGCACGCAG